Molecule: ribosomal RNA, 885 nt
Filed under: Pestalotiopsis oryzae
Lineage: Eukaryota; Fungi; Ascomycota; Sordariomycetes; Amphisphaeriales; Sporocadaceae
Description: LSU rRNA
Rfam family: Eukaryotic large subunit ribosomal RNA
Source: RNAcentral
AUCAAUNAGCGGAGGAAAAGAAACCAACAGGGAUUGCCUUAGUAACGGCGAGUGAAGCGGCAACAGCUCAAAUUUGAAAUCUGGCCCUUGGGUCCGAAUUGUAAUUUGUAGAGGAUGAUUUUGGUGCGGUAUCUUCCGAGUUCCUUGGAACAGGACGCCUUAGAGGGUGAGAGCCCCGUACGGUUGAAUGCCUAGCCUUUGUAAAUCUCCUUCGACGAGUCGAGUAGUUUGGGAAUGCUGCUCUAAAUGGGAGGUAAAUUUCUUCUAAAGCUAAAUAUUGGCCAGAGACCGAUAGCGCACAAGUAGAGUGAUCGAAAGAUGAAAAGCACUUUGAAAAGAGGGUUAAAUAGCACGUGAAAUUGUUGAAAGGGAAGGAUUUGUGACCAGACUUUUUCUGGGCGGAUCAUCCGGGGUUCUCUCCGGUGCACUUCGCCCAGUAAAGGCCAGCAUCGAUUUUCGGCGGCGGAUAAAAGCAGUGGGAAUGUGGCUCCUUACGGGGAGUGUUAUAGCCCAUUGUAUAAUACGCUGCUGGGGAUCGAGGUACGCGCUUCUGCAAGGAUGCUGGCGUAAUGGUUAUCAAUCACCCGUCUUGAAACACGGACCAAGGAGUCGAACAUUUGUGCGAGUGUUUGGGUGUUAAACCCUCACGCGUAAUGAAAGUGAACGGAGGUGAGAGCCCUUACGGGUGCAUCAUCGACCGAUCCUGAAGUUUUCGGAUGGAUUUGAGUAAGAGCAUAAAUGUUCGGACCCGAAAGAUGGUGAACUAUGCGUGGAUAGGGUGAAGCCAGAGGAAACUCUGGUGGAGGCUUGCAGCGGUUCUGACGUGCAAAUCGAUCGUCAAAUCUGCGCAUGGGGGCGAAAGACUAAUCGAACCAUCUAGUAGCU